RNAcentral lists this long non-coding RNA (1353 nucleotides) under Apteryx owenii (little spotted kiwi). Its description in RNAcentral is "lncRNA (ENSAOWG00000000948.1)". Lineage: Eukaryota; Metazoa; Chordata; Aves; Apterygiformes; Apterygidae. The record is from RNAcentral.
CCUCAGGAUUUAGGGGGGCCCAGGGAGGGUCCUGGGGGUUCCAAGGCGGUGUUGGGGGGCUGGGGAGAGCUGGAGGGGUAGGGGGGGUCCCGGGGGGUUCCCAGGGGUCGUGGGGAGGGGGCAAGGGGGUGUGUGGAGCCUUGGGGGGCCCCUUCGGGAGUUGGGGGGGUCCCGGGGGUCCCAGAGUGUGUGGGGGGUCCAAGGGGUUUGGGAGGCCUUGGGAGGGCGCUCAGGAGCUGGGGGGCUCCUUGGCAGGGGUCCUGGAGAGGUCCAGGGGGGUGUUGGGGGGAGCCUGGGGGCAUAGGGGGUGCUGGGGGGGGGGGACAGGGGCUGGCGUUGGUUUGAGGAUGGGCCUGGGGGGGCACUCAGGAGCUGGGGAGGGAUCCGGGGGGGGGUCCAGGGGGCUGUUUGGGGUCCAUGGGGAGCCCAGGGCGUGGGGAGGGCCCUGAGAAGGGGUCGGGGGUGGGGUCCAGGGGGGUAUUGGGGGUGUGGGGGGAGCCCAGGGACUGGGGUGAUUCCGGAGGGGGGUCCCGGCGUGGGGUCUAAGGCAGCGCAGGGACUCCGGGGCGCCGUUAUGGUGCCGGGGGGACAUGGCGGUGCGGGGAGGGCCGGGCCGGGCUCCCCCUCCCCCCUUCGCCUCACCGCUCGCGCCUUUCGCUUUCGCUUCUCCCAACCUGCCUCGGUGGGAUCUGCCUGGCGCCCGGUGACGACCGAGACGGCGCCGGUCGCCAUUGGCGGGCGGCCCGAAGCGCAGCCAAUGGCCCCGCGGGGGCGCGGCGGGGUGGGGCGCGGCGCGGGGUAACGCGGCGCGCGCGGCCGAGUCGGAGCCGAGUGGUGGAGUUGGAGCCGGGGCGAGCGAUGGGGCCGGGGCCGAUACUGGCGCUGGUGCUGGUGCCGGCGCUGGCGGUGGCGCUGGUGCUGCUGCUGAGGAGCGGCGGGCCGAUGGCAAGCAAGGGGGACCCCUGGGCCACCCGAGGUGACGGGGCCCCGUUCUCUUCCAGAGCCCCAGAGCAACCUGCUGCCGAUCAACAACGGGGUAGUUGUCGCUGCGCUCGUCGUCGUUGCCGCCGUCGCCGGGUUUACGUUGCGGAAGAGGAGAUCGGGGAGGAGGGAGAAGGGGUACAAGCCGGCCACAGCCCACGACGGGGAAUCCAGCAGUUCCGGAACAGAGAGCAACCCCGACACUUAAGCAYURAGGCAUUGAACWUGACUCARUGGGAUGUUCAAAAUGCUCCAUGACAGCCCAUAGGACUAUCACCAGCAGAAAUUCUCUUUGGGAGACAUUCAGCCAUUCCAGGGACCUAUACCCCAGCUAAGACCAACCUGUUGGAUGGGGGAUGAACGGCUGACCCG